Molecule: antisense RNA, 86 nt
Filed under: Pantoea brenneri
Lineage: Bacteria; Pseudomonadati; Pseudomonadota; Gammaproteobacteria; Enterobacterales; Erwiniaceae
Also listed under: 1 other name
Description: CopA
Rfam family: CopA-like RNA
About the family: In several groups of bacterial plasmids, antisense RNAs regulate copy number through inhibition of replication initiator protein synthesis. These RNAs are characterised by a long hairpin structure interrupted by several unpaired residues or bulged loops. In plasmid R1, the inhibitory complex between the antisense RNA (CopA) and its target mRNA (CopT) is characterised by a four-way junction structure and a side-by-side helical alignment.
Source: RNAcentral
AUAGAGCAAUCGUUCUAUGCGGUUCUCUUGGGCCCCGGUAAUCUUGUCCUGUCGCCAAACUAGAAAGUUUAUCGGGGCUUUUUCUU